Molecule: long non-coding RNA, 2078 nt
Filed under: Brassica napus (rape)
Lineage: Eukaryota; Viridiplantae; Streptophyta; Magnoliopsida; Brassicales; Brassicaceae
Description: long non-coding RNA (BNAP_LNC016467)
Source: RNAcentral
GGGAGGCACCAACUGAACCGCGUGGCUGGUGUGCAUCGACAGCUGCGACGAUCAAUGGAAAGAAGGGGAUGCUGAUAUUUGGUGGGAAGGCUCAGACCAACAACCGCUUUGAUGAUCUUUACUUCUACUCGGUGAAAGAGCUUAACCCUCUCAUCAAUGUUCGUGUUGGACUUGGAUUAUUUUAAUCUCAUAAGGAGAUUGGUCAGAGACCGAGAAUUGGUGUAAAAUACUUAUAAAUAAUGUGUCUCUGCUUGUGGUUUGAAGUCUGGUGUGAUCAAAACAUCAAAGUCUGUUUUUUCUUUUGAAGUAUUGAAUAAUGUGGGAGUCUGUUUGUGGUUUGAAGUAUUCUGUAAGUUUGUAACUGAAACGUCAAAGUCUGUAUGUAAUGAAUAAUGUGUGUCUCUGCUUGUGGUUUGAAAUAUAUUGUGAUUUGUGAAUCAAAGCCUGUCUCUUUUAAUAUUUUCCUCCAUUUCCUUUCCCUCAAUGGUGUAUACUUUAGACAACCAUCAAAGAAGUCCACAGGAGAAUUCAGGUUGAUAUUUAAAAAUGCCACAGGAGAAUUCAGGUUGAUAUUUACAAGAUUUCAUUUAACACCAAAUGCAAUAAUACAAUGUUCUCGGCACCAUUGCCGAAUGAUAGAGAAACGCAAUGAGCCAUACUUGUAAUGAAAAACAUAAGUAGGUACCAUAACAUAAAAUGUAAAAAGAGAUAAGAUCACUCUCAUAAGAAGGAGGGAGCAAGAUCCUUCCUGCACUCACCAAUAGGUGAUAUAAUAAUGCUCAAAAGAGCAGCAGAGCAACUGACCACCAUCUUAGGAGAAGAAACAAACCAAAGUUUUUGUUAAUUCGUUAUGCAAAAAAAAAAAAAAAGUUUUUGUUAAUUCGAACUGAAAUCCAUAGUAGCUUUACUUCAGAUUGUAGCUUCCUCACUAUAAAAAUAGUGCAACUAUGAAGAGUUAUGUCAAGCAAUGUAUAACUGAACACGGUGAUCGUGAGCAACUGAAGUGAAAAUAAUAAUUUGUAAUCAAUCCAAAGUUUUUUAUAUCGUAAACCUCGAAUCUGAAACAAGAGUAACAUAUUAAUUAAGCAAAAAGCUUUACACAUUCAAACUAAAGUCAUAUUGUGUCCUAAACUAGAAUCUAAGAUGGUAACACAGACUAACAGUCUUCAAUAUAAGUUAUUUGUUUGCAUAUAUAUAUACACACAUUAUAUAUACAUGUAUAUACAAGAUCAAUCCAAAAAUCAGAUUACGUUGUCGAAAAUAUAAGUUAACCUCUAUGCAUAUGCUAGCCGAAUCAAUAAGUAAAAAGAAAUGCUCACGGUCUUUGAAGUUAAGCAUGCCUGUGGUAAGUGCCCAUAUUAUUUAUGGUUAUGUCUUUAUAAAAAAAGAGUCAAAACCAUAAAACAAAAGUGAAAAGAAAAGAUUCGCUAUUCACCUUCUAAAGAUAACUCAUCCAAACAUGAACUUACCUUGCAAGCAAAGUUUUAUUACCUUCAUCUAUUAGUUCUCAUACUUAACCUUAUCUUAACCGGGAUCGUUGUUGUGAUAAUGUUUUUAAUGAUCAGAAUAUUUUAAAAUUACACUCAAGACGAAUUUACGUAGCUUGCUUAUAGCAAUUAUUUGUCAACAAAUUAUAUCAAAACUAUCAAACUUCGAUAAUGAUCUAACUUUUUUUCUUUUGAUAGCCGAUAAUGAUACGACUAAAGAAGAGCAAUGGAUAAUGUUGAAGAUACAAUACAUUAGUUAGUAGUUAACUAGCUUCGUAAGGUGUCAACUGUAUAUCAAAGACUUAGAUCAAAUCGUCACAUUGGCUUGCCAAACGAAGCUAAGCAAAUUGCACACAUUAAUAAAUACAUAUACGGAUCUAUGGGUGUUUUACGGGUUCUACGGAGACGAGUGUGAUGAUAUCCAUUGCUUUGAUGUGGAUCGAAACGUGUGGACUAAAGUCGAGACUACUGGGGAGAAGCCUUCACCGAGGAGCGUUUUCGCGAUUGCGGCUGUUGGGAAACAUGUCAUUGUAGUUGGAGGUGAGAUCGAGAUGGACCCUCAGGCCCAUGUUGGUCCUGGGAAGUUGUGUG